AUUUCUUUUUGUGUAUCUUAAAGGAAAAUCGAUUAGUCUCAUAAAAUUACUGGAACAAUGAUAUAUUAUUUUUGCCUAUAUUUCAUUCCAGAUUAUAACAAAAUCUAUCACUCUAAGAAACUUAUGAAUGAUUUACUUAAUAAACCAAUAGAGUAAAAAUGCAUUUGUUUCUCUCCCAUUUUCUCUUCCUCUCUCAGUCAUACAUCCACAUAUUGUGAAACCAUUGAAAAUAAGAAAAAUGAGCAUUUAUGAAGAAUGUAUGCGUUUACCUGAGAUAUCAAGAGCAAAACAAUCUAGAAAACAAAUAGCUAUGGCAGCCCUGUAGAGUAUCAAGCAAAGGAGCUGUUUGGCACGCUUCCUCAACUGUAUGGUCCAUCCACUUUUUCAAUACAGUUUCAGCAACAAGACACAGCUGAUGCUGCAAUACAGCUGCACCUAGAGGUCCAACCAAAUUCAGCCUUGUUGCAGCAGAAAUUGCAUCCCUCAUUGUGAUAAAAAUGUAAGCUUUUUGAGAAGUCUCACUAUCCAUCCCAAGAAGUCCACAUAUCAUGCCAAAGAUGGGAGCAUGGUGAAAAGAAACAGCCCCAGAACCAAUACAUGCAUCUCUCAUCGUUUUAAGACAAGGGACUUCAGUAAAAACAGCUGCAGCCACCCUCAUAAGAGCUGAUCCUUGCGCAAUAGAUGCCUUUCGACUUACUUCAUUGGUUAAAGUAGCAUCCAAUAUUCUGUCAAGCCUUUGCCAGGUAUCCAAAUCAGGAGAGUUGGUUGCAGAGUACACAAAAGGAAGAAGCAAACUUCCUGUAUUCUCCAAAAUAUGAAUCACCUGAUUCUUAAAAUCUUCAUGACCCAAGAUUAUGCGUGCUUGAAUUGCUGCCUCAAGACCAAAAGAAUGAGCAAAACCACCAGUAGGGAGAAUGGAAUCAAGCAGUUGCCACUGGCUCCACUGUAAAAGAAAAUCUGCUGAAGCAGUUUUUCUGCGCUUUUUGUCCAUUAUCAUGUCAUCUUCCAUUGAGAGAAUGUACAGGCAACCUCAUAAUUUAGCUCAAAGAAUGCUCCAUGAUAAUGAUUUUGCUUGUAAUCCUUUGGAGCAAACAAACUUUUUUUUUUCUUCUCUCUUUAGUUUAAUGAAACUUCCAUUUCUUAGGAGCGAUGGGAAACGACACAGUAGCCAAUGGUGCUCGAUCAAACGCCCUCUUUUCUCCGUUUCCGUGCAAAAAAUAAAAUAAAUCAUAUAUUGGAUAAUGAGAGGUUAGAAAGAGGGUAGUUGAGGAUUUCAAGGGUAAGAUGUAUGUUGCAGAGGGGAAAGUAGUCAGUACAGCCCUCUCCGGUGAACAUGCAGGCUAAGCAAUUUAAUUAAACAAGCUUAGAAAAAAAAUUUUAAUUAAACAUGUGCUAGUCAUCUAAAAAUUUAAAUAUUUAUUAAUUUAAACCAAGUUACAAGUAUUAGAUGUUUAAUUUAAAU
This 1462-nucleotide unclassified non-coding RNA is filed under the name Hevea brasiliensis (rubber tree). Lineage: Eukaryota; Viridiplantae; Streptophyta; Magnoliopsida; Malpighiales; Euphorbiaceae. The record is from RNAcentral.